GUGCUCACUUCAGCACCACAUAUACUAAAAAUGGAAUGAUACAGAGAAUACCAUGAUCCCAAUGCAAGGAUGACAUGCAAAUUCAUGAAAUAUUCCAUUUUUUU
Molecule: small nuclear RNA, 104 nt
Filed under: Castor canadensis (American beaver)
Lineage: Eukaryota; Metazoa; Chordata; Mammalia; Rodentia; Castoridae
Source: RNAcentral